CUAUACAUGCAAGUCGAACGCUUCUUUUUCCACCGGAGCUUGCUCCACCGGAAAAAGAGGAGUGGCGAACGGGUGAGUAACACGUGGGUAACCUGCCCAUCAGAAGGGGAUAACACUUGGAAACAGGUGCUAAUACCGUAUAACAAUCAAAACCGCAUGGUUUUGAUUUGAAAGGCGCUUUCGGGUGUCGCUGAUGGAUGGACCCGCGGUGCAUUAGCUAGUUGGUGAGGUAACGGCUCACCAAGGCCACGAUGCAUAGCCGACCUGAGAGGGUGAUCGGCCACAUUGGGACUGAGACACGGCCCAAACUCCUACGGGAGGCAGCAGUAGGGAAUCUUCGGCAAUGGACGAAAGUCUGACCGAGCAACGCCGCGUGAGUGAAGAAGGUUUUCGGAUCGUAAAACUCUGUUGUUAGAGAAGAACAAGGAUGAGAGUAACUGUUCAUCCCUUGACGGUAUCUAACCAGAAAGCCACGGCUAACUACGUGCCAGCAGCCGCGGUAAUACGUAGGUGGCAAGCGUUGUCCGGAUUUAUUGGGCGUAAAGCGAGCGCAGGCGGUUUCUUAAGUCUGAUGUGAAAGCCCCCGGCUCAACCGGGGAGGGUCAUUGGAAACUGGGAGACUUGAGUGCAGAAGAGGAGAGUGGAAUUCCAUGUGUAGCGGUGAAAUGCGUAGAUAUAUGGAGGAACACCAGUGGCGAAGGCGGCUCUCUGGUCUGUAACUGACGCUGAGGCUCGAAAGCGUGGGGAGCAAACAGGAUUAGAUACCCUGGUAGUCCACGCCGUAAACGAUGAGUGCUAAGUGUUGGAGGGUUUCCGCCCUUCAGUGCUGCAGCUAACGCAUUAAGCACUCCGCCUGGGGAGUACGACCGCAGNGAAACUCAAGGANUGACGGGGCCCGCACAAGCGGUGGAGCAUGUGGUUUAUUCGAGCACGC
RNAcentral lists this ribosomal RNA (934 nucleotides) under Enterococcus faecium. Its description in RNAcentral is "bacterial SSU rRNA". It matches the Rfam family "Bacterial small subunit ribosomal RNA", at positions 49 to 962 of the family's 1533-position model. Lineage: Bacteria; Bacillati; Bacillota; Bacilli; Lactobacillales; Enterococcaceae. The record is from RNAcentral.